GAAAUAGUAGUUUAAAAAAAACAAUUGAUUUCGACUCAAUAAAUUGUGGUUUAACUCCACCCUAUUUUCU
This 70-nucleotide transfer RNA is filed under the name Nyctimystes kubori (sandy big-eyed treefrog). Its description in RNAcentral is "tRNA-Arg". It matches the Rfam family "tRNA". Rfam says of the family: Transfer RNA (tRNA) molecules are approximately 80 nucleotides in length. Their secondary structure includes four short double-helical elements and three loops (D, anti-codon, and T loops). Further hydrogen bonds mediate the characteristic L-shaped molecular structure. tRNAs have two regions of fundamental functional importance: the anti-codon, which is responsible for specific mRNA codon recognition, and the 3' end, to which the tRNAs corresponding amino acid is attached (by aminoacyl-tRNA synthetases). tRNAs cope with the degeneracy of the genetic code in two manners: having more than one tRNA (with a specific anti-codon) for a particular amino acid; and 'wobble' base-pairing, i.e. permitting non-standard base-pairing at the 3rd anti-codon position. The record is from RNAcentral. Lineage: Eukaryota; Metazoa; Chordata; Amphibia; Anura; Pelodryadidae.